Molecule: long non-coding RNA, 2434 nt
Organism: Strongylocentrotus purpuratus (purple sea urchin)
Lineage: Eukaryota; Metazoa; Echinodermata; Echinoidea; Camarodonta; Strongylocentrotidae
Exons: 4
Source: RefSeq, a predicted model, not a curated record
UUUUUACAGCAUCGUGGAGAGCUUACGUAUGUCUUAGAUUCUCUCUGCCACUAGCCAAGGAUAUUUGAGAAAGAUCCAGGAUAUUCUUAAGGAUUUUGUCCUCGCGGGUAGGAUAUCGAGUGAGCCGCCUAUUGCUGAGCUGGUGUUUCCGUCGUCGAAGAGCGAUUAGACUUUGGAUUUUCCUAUCAUACUAGGGUAAUUUGUGUUCAACCGAGCUCUGAAAAACGAAAAGUGAGGUAAAAAUCACGAGAAGCUGUCAUUUAUACCAACACUCACCAGCAUCCAAACACCUUUACCCGUAGACGUCGAAGUUUCGUUUGCCCCACGUCGCACCACACCGCCACGAGCUCAGCCGCAUUCCCUAUCCCUCAUCACUCACGCUAGUCCAGCAGCAUCGCAGUGAUUAACACAUAUUCAGGAAGAUGAAGUCCGUCUACCAGGUUGUGCUAGCUUUCCUUGCCGUCCUCGUGUGCGUGGCAUGGACGUGUCAGGCCUACGGUCUCGACCAGGACGAGUACAGGAGAGGUGCAGCUGAGAACGCACUCGACGAACAAGAGAUAUACGAAAUCAUUGAAAGCCUAGAACAUGCCAUGUCAAAAAGAGGAUCUGUAAAACAUCUUGGCCUUGCUAAUGUUGACAACUGGAGAAUGAUGAAGAAUGUCAACAGACUGAGGAAUCUUCUGAACAGCGGCAAACGAUCAGACCAGCAGCUCGAUUCCCAAUAAAAGCAGGUUUCUACAACACCAACACCUUUUUACAGCAAAGACUAAAAACAUUCCUGACCUUUCCGUUGGCUUCAUUUCCAAUAUUUUCACCAAGAUUUUUGCUCAGAAUUUAUUUUUCCCGAUUUAUAAUUCCAUCGCCCACUAAUGGCCCACGUUUGAAAAAAUGUACGGAUACAUGGAGCUGGUGAUGUUCAUACUAUCAAGUCAGUGCAAAUGGCCGAUGACUGCCUCUUUCUAUUUAAUGCAUAAACUCAAGACGCGGUUUGAUAUGAAUAAUUGUACCUUGACGCAGUGUUAUCAUAAACAAGCUUUUUGUCAAAAUUAGCUAAUGUUAUAAUUAACAAUGUGAUUAAAUUCUUGCUGGUUUGUAAUUCCUCAAAUUAAUGUUGUGUUGAUGUAUAUGUAUAUUUUAAAAUUGAUUUGCAUAACCUCUUAAAGAUAUAUACAGUGUGGUUUCAUAUUCAUGAAAAUGAUCUCUUGUGAAGUAACCAAGCAAUCGUGCAGAUACGACAUUACCUUUCAGCGUCAGCUUUUAUACAUUAUUAUGAUUCCUUUCUUUCAGUUUUUUUUCUUAAUAAAAACACCCACAAUGAAAUGAAACAUGUAUAAUGAAAAAAAAGCUUUAAUGCAGUUAAUUGCUUUUGUCAGAAUGAUAGAAAAGGUGCAUGAUAUUGAUUUUUGUUCCUUAUCUUCUGAAAGGAAUGCAAUCCUAAAAUAAAUUGAGUCCGAGAGUACCAGGUGAAAGUUAUUGAAGACAAACAUUUCAUUUUUAUGUCAAUGUUAGACUCCUCUGAUAUUAAUUUUAGACAAUUAUCCAUAUAGCAUAGGUCAGGUGGUCCCAUUGUUUGUAUCACUGAAUAAGUACUAAGAUGGUAUGUAUAUAUUCAAAUGCAAAUAAGCUGUAUAUGAAAGAUUGCUAUUUGUGAAUAUAACGGAUAGUUUAACCAUGUAAUUAGCCUGGUAAAUUUCGUAUAUAAAUCUGAUAAAAUCUUGGUUGAAGUAUGUGUUCCCCCUUAGAAGAGCAAAUUUGCUAUAAUAGAAUAUAGAGCUAUUUCAAGCUAAUUGUACUUUUGUUUUCAAUCUCAAUGUUCGCGAUUUAAAAGAAUGAAGUCAUAAAUAAAGGGGAUCAAAUAUGAAAUUCUUUGUAGAGCUAUCAUACUAUUAUCUGUUGUUUUACGACAAAUGUUUAUUUUUAUGUUGUUGAAGAGAGUAUAAUAUACAUCCUAUAACAAAAAAUGAAAUGAAAGCGCAUGUGGAAGUGUUUCUUUCAUGUCACGUGUUCGUGUCCAACUACCAAUGUUUUAACUCAAAAUUCGUUUUGUCGUAGAUUGCGUGAACUUGUGAGCACAGAAAGCCUUGUGAGGUUGCGAUGAUUUUUACUUCAUAAAUUACAAAGUCACUUGUUCAUAGCUAAUGAUUAUCAUAUAUGAUCUUCUAAUGAUUAUCAAAAUCUCAUGAAGUUGAUCUUGAAGUCAAAACGAGAAAUGUCAACAACAAAAAAAGAAUUAUAGAAACCAAAUAUUUAUGGCUUUAAUAUUUUGGUCCGUAUAUUAAGAGUGCCUAAGAUACCACGGUGAACAUACAUACAACAGUUAAAAUAAGGUAAAUGUCUUCAUUUGACAUUUUGUUGUCAUCAUUCAAAUCUCUCCUUUAAUGAAAAGAAGUGACCUCAAACACAAUGAAUAAAAUUACUGUAUAUUAUUAAUCUA